UAUCUACUGUUGGAUUAUCUGCCAUACAUCCAGCUAUAGCUAAAAAGAUAUUAUCAAAUAACAACAUAAAGGAUGGUUUCACUGAAUUUGAUAGUACGAUGUCAAAUUAAUGAACGUGAGUGUUCGGUGGUUGUUAUUUAAUUAUCGUUAAUAUAUUUACUCUAUAUAUUGUGUAACUUUGCAGUUUUUAUAUCUUCCGAAAAAAAACUAUAAUUUUUUUUGGCAGGGAAGAGAAACUCUUACUAUCAAGCUUUUGGAAAAUUUAUUUGCUUCAUCAGGAUGUGCUUCAAUAAUUUUUUUCAGUAAAUACAAUGAAAUUAAAAUGACAGGACAUUGUUUAAACAGAAUAAUACAAACUUACAACAGGAGGUCGUAUUGAUUUUUAUAUACUACUACGACAAUGCUACUUUGCAAGAAGCUGAAAUACAGCUCGAAAGCAUGGACUACGAAAGAGAGAAAGAUAACCUACCAACAGAGGAAGAAGUCAUCAAAGAAAUACAAAAAUUUAAAGAUAACAAAGCUCCUGGAUCAAAUGGCAUACCUUCUGAACUUUUAAAACAUAGCGGCACAAAUCUGACCUGUAGUAUAAGUAGGAUUAGUCUGGGCUGAUUAUCGGAGAAUAGGCCAUUUUUGGGAAAAGUUAUUUACCAGCAAUUUUAUUGCUGGAAUCGAAUUAUAAGAUCCUAUAUAUUAAUAUUAUAGGUAUGCAAAGUCCUCAGAUAGUGUGCUACUUUUUUUAUAAACAAAAUGGCGCCCGAAAAUCGUGUUUUUUUCAAUUAUUGCUCUAUAACUCCGAAGAUUUUAACUUUACAACAAAAACACUCAAAUAAAAAUUCACCGUGAUUAAAUUCUACAUAGAGACGUGUUUUUCCCGAUCUGCUCUGACGAAAAUUUUCCUCGGAAAAUGCGGGUUUUCCCAACAAAAUCUUUAAUUUUCAAAUAAAGUUUUAGAUAAGUAAUUAUUUACCAAUAAUUAAAUAAUUUGGUGACUUAAAAGCCUUCUUGGUUUAGAUUAUAGUUCCAGA
Long non-coding RNA from Diabrotica virgifera virgifera (western corn rootworm), 1025 nucleotides. RefSeq lists it as uncharacterized. The transcript is spliced from 3 exons. NCBI's taxonomy places the organism in Eukaryota, Metazoa, Arthropoda, Insecta, Coleoptera, Chrysomelidae. The record is from RefSeq and is a predicted model, not a curated record.